Dicentrarchus labrax (European seabass) is the source of this 1816-nucleotide long non-coding RNA. NCBI's taxonomy places the organism in Eukaryota, Metazoa, Chordata, Actinopteri, Moronidae. The record is from Ensembl.
AGAUUGACGGCUGAUGUCCGUCCCGGUGGACUCGGGUCGUACUUUUCAGAGUCUGAUCAGAUUCUUGUGUUCCUGGCAAUACCGCGGGGAGUUUGGCACAAACGCCUCAGCAGAAAUGUACAGAUUAUAAGACAGAGAUGGACAUGUAAAAAGAUGAAAUCCACGGGGAACAGUGAAAGCUGGCAGCAUCACAGAAACCGCAGCUCCAAGAAAACUCCCAAAACUGAAAAAGUCAAAUACAAAGUGUAAAAAGUAUGAAUGGAAAAACUAAGGUCGAUUUGUUGAGACUGUACAACCACUGAAAUCGACUUAAAUUCUACCUUCUCUUCAACCAACUGACUGGUUGAUGCCUGUUAUUUCUAGAUGAACUAGAUCGAGCACAGUGCACUGACUGCUCCCUACCUGCUGGAUGCUGAGUGCUGAUCAAAUCUAAACAACAUCGCCAAGAAAACAACUUCCUGCAGUUUGACCAUUUCUUUUUCACACCAAGCUCUGGCUUUACCUUCAGGACAUGUCUAUCAGGUAUAUCAUACAACAGCAACACACAACCACAAAGCUAACGCAGUGUAGAGCGCUGCAGCUCCACAAAAAGCAACAUUAAAAAACAGUUCCCAGCAUGCAACCGACUACUGUUGUUGUUUUGUUGCUUCAAAUACGGGGUCAGAGUACGCUGGCAGUCCGGACAACGGACAAACCAAAGAAUCCUCCAAUUAGUUUGGAGCUCAGUAAAUGUUGAGGUCCUGCAGUCAGCUGCCAGUUUAAGUUGUAAAGACAGGGAAGUUUUGACUUCCUGACAUUAACGUCUAUUAAACCAUACGAUUAUUAAAACAGAACCGUAUUUGUCUAGUAAAAUAUAUUUGAUUGUUUUUAUACAUAAUCAGUGUUAUUUCUAACUAUAUAGCAUUCUAACACCAGCAUUGUCUGAGCAAUGAGGUUUUGGUUGGACGGGAGCAUAUCGACCAACCAAUCAACCAGAAGGUGUCAGCCCUUGUAUUCAUGUGGUAGUUCCUGCAGUUAUAUUAAACUGCUCUUUAGGAUGAUGUGAUAAUUAGGAUGUGAUAAAAAUGACCUGUAUAAAACUGAGCAGAUACUAAAAUUCAACUCUUUUAUUUAGGCCUCACUUAUUGAAUAACUUUUCUCUCCAGCUGAUCUUUGUCCGUCCUCUCUCUGUGACUUGUUGAAGGAUUUGGAUUCCGUUUGUUCACUUUCUGCCUCCACCAUUGCUGAGGGAGGAGGGACCACCACCACAUCCUAGUUGGCCCCUCAUAUCUCUGUAGCUAAACAUUAGCUAAGACGUGACUAUGUCUUAACUUAGACAGAAUGAUAGAUAAAUGUUACACACUGGAUCUUUAAGUUAGCUUUUUUUGCUACAGAGCAAAACGCCGGCUACCUAGCCAAUAAUCUCUAUUAUUACAAUAACUGUUAGAUAGCUGAUUCUAGCACGUGGAAUCUCUUUUGUCAUGUCUUUUCAACAUAGACUUGCUUAGUUAGCUAGCAUUUGCUACACAGCAAAGCACAUGCUAAGUAGCUAGCUAAUCUACAUAAAUCAUUAGCUAGCUGGUUAUGUCUGAAAGUUAAUGAUAGCAAAACGCUAAAUUUACCUGGUACCUAAUGUUUAGCUAACAGUAGCUAACUUACGAUGUGACUAUAUGUUUCUUUUUAUCUUUUAACAAUCUUCAAAAUGUGGUUCUUUUAAACAUAGAUUAGCCUAGCUUGUCCUUACACAAGAUUCAAUUAGACAUUUAAGUAAUAAGGAUCACGUCCAAGAGUUUUUGGCAUAACUAAACAUUUUGAACCAGUUUGUUUACUAUAAUAC